UACGUAGGUCCCGAGCGUUGUCCGGAUUUAUUGGGCGUAAAGCGAGCGCAGGCGGUUUAAUAAGUCUGAAGUUAAAGGCAGUGGCUUAACCAUUGUUCGCUUUGGAAACUGUUAGACUUGAGUGCAGAAGGGGAGAGUGGAAUUCCAUGUGUAGCGGUGAAAUGCGUAGAUAUAUGGAGGAACACCGGUGGCGAAAGCGGCUCUCUGGUCUGUAACUGACGCUGAGGCUCGAAAGCGUGGGGAGCAAACA
RNAcentral lists this ribosomal RNA (250 nucleotides) under uncultured bacterium. RNAcentral's name for it is "partial 16S ribosomal RNA". It matches the Rfam family "Bacterial small subunit ribosomal RNA", at positions 524 to 774 of the family's 1533-position model. The record is from RNAcentral. RNAcentral also lists the same sequence under 1 other name.